Molecule: long non-coding RNA, 229 nt
Organism: Saccostrea cuccullata (small rock oyster)
Lineage: Eukaryota; Metazoa; Mollusca; Bivalvia; Ostreida; Ostreidae
Exons: 3
Source: RefSeq, a predicted model, not a curated record
AUGAUUGUCCAAAGUGGACUUUUCCAAUAAAAUACCGUAUUCAGCUAGCUUCUGCUGCACACGUUGCAUUGGUUAGGCAAGCAGUUUCUAUCUGGCAGCAACAGACUUGUAUAACAUUUACGGAGGCAACAACAAUAACUGCACCAGCUAUUAACUUUAAGGAAAAUGAAUCUGGGUGCUGGUCUUAUGUUGGUAAAGGGAACUCUGCUAUUAAUGACAUUAACCUCCA